UGGGGAAUAUUGGACAAUGGGCGCAAGCCUGAUCCAGCCAUGCCGCGUGUGUGAUGAAGGCCUUAGGGUUGUAAAGCACUUUCGCCGAUGAAGAUAAUGACGGUAGUCGGAGAAGAAGCCCCGGCUAACUUCGUGCCAGCAGCCGCGGUAAUACGAAGGGGGCAAGCGUUGUUCGGAUUUACUGGGCGUAAAGCGUACGUAGGCGGAUCAUUAAGUCAGGGGUGAAAUCCCGAGGCUCAACCUCGGAACUGCCUUUGAUACUGGUGAUCUUGAGUCCGGGAGAGGUGAGUGGAACUCCUAGUGUAGAGGUGAAAUUCGUAGAUAUUAGGAAGAACACCAGUGGCGAAGGCGGCUCACUGGCCCGGAACUGACGCUGAGGUACGAAAGCGUGGGGAGCAAACA
This 402-nucleotide ribosomal RNA is filed under the name uncultured Kaistia sp. RNAcentral describes it as "bacterial SSU rRNA". It matches the Rfam family "Bacterial small subunit ribosomal RNA", at positions 355 to 774 of the family's 1533-position model. The record is from RNAcentral. Lineage: Bacteria; Pseudomonadati; Pseudomonadota; Alphaproteobacteria; Hyphomicrobiales; Kaistiaceae.